This 331-nucleotide unclassified non-coding RNA is filed under the name soil metagenome. RNAcentral's name for it is "partial contains 5.8S ribosomal RNA, internal transcribed spacer 2, and large subunit ribosomal RNA". The stretch from base 1 to 120 matches the Rfam family "5.8S ribosomal RNA", at positions 35 to 154 of the family's 154-position model. The record is from RNAcentral.
GAUGAAGAACGUAGCGAAAUGCGAUAAGUAAUGUGAAUUGCAGAAUUCAGUGAAUCAUCGAAUCUUUGAACGCACAUUGCGCCCCCUGGUAUUCCGGGGGGCAUGCCUGUUCGAGCGUCAUUUCACCACUCAAGCCUCGCUUGGUAUUGGGCAACGCGGUCCGCCGCGUGCCUCAAAUCGUCCGGCUGGGUCUUCUGUCCCCUAAGCGUUGUGGAAACUAUUCGCUAAAGGGUGUUCGGGAGGCUACGCCGUAAAACAACCCCAUUUCUAAGGUUGACCUCGGAUCAGGGAGGGAUACCCGCUGAACUUAAGCAUAUCAAUAAGCGGAGGA